This is a long non-coding RNA of Triticum aestivum (bread wheat), 2909 nucleotides long. RefSeq lists it as uncharacterized. Lineage: Eukaryota; Viridiplantae; Streptophyta; Magnoliopsida; Poales; Poaceae. The record is from RefSeq and is a predicted model, not a curated record. The transcript has 5 exons.
UUCACGGGAGAUUGGAUCUGAGCUCUCGUCCGUGGUUCCUCUGUGCUGCCGACGUCAUGACGGCGUCAACACGGCGAACCACACCCGAGUUAGCUGCACGGCGUCAGGUUAUUCCUCCCGAUCUCCUCCCUUCCUGUAACCUCCGCUCCUCGAUCUCGCCCUCCUCCCUCUCCUCUGCGCCCGCCGACAUGGGCCGCGUCUCCGUGUCCUCGGCCAUGCCGGCGGCAGCAGCGAUCCGGUCUGGCGUCGGUGCUGACGUGGUUCCCGUCUCAUCCCCUUUCCCAUUAAUCCCGUGUCUGGACCAAGCACGACACCACCUCGGUGUUGCACGUUGCGACAAAUGCCCACCCGGGCUCAAACCCCCUCCCCCACGAGCUCCUCCUCCUCGACGCGCCGCUCUCUUCCUCCCUUCUCUCCUCCGCUGGCCGCUUGGUCGUAGAACUAGUCAGGGCAGGGGACAACAUGGCCGCCACCAAACAGCAGCCGCCCCUAUACAUUGUCGUCGCCGACGACCGCCAGAGGAGCAGCUUCCCCUGCACGCGCCCCAUCCUGCAGAGCGCGCUCCAGCUCAUGGGCUGCAAGCCACACCACACCUUCAAGGGGCGGAGCUACUAGGAGCCUCCCUGAUGCACAGGCACCAGGGUCGAUGUUGAUCUCUUGAAGCGAUUGUGUAGAGUUGUUUGGUCGUGCACCAGGUUAGGCUGACAGUGGUGCAUCAGGUACAGAGACAAUCCCACGGCAGCCUUGUUCGGAACUGGUUCAUGGGUAGGCCAGGUCUUGUUCAGACGUGGCCAUGCCUUGGCGUAGCCUUGUGGGCUGUAGCCUUUUGGGUACGUUUGGUGUGGCUGGGCAUCAAGGCGUCAAUGCCCUUAGGUGUUGUAGGGUCACGCCGACACGCGAUCACUCGACGAACCACAUCGGAUGGGCGACGCUGCGCUAGGCUCGGUCUUUACACCUAGCAUCAUCCAUGCUAAUCCGAUCAGUCACUGACCUCAGCUCCAGCUCAAAGGUAGAGUAUGACAUAUAGAUGUAGUAAAUCUUAAAUCUCGGGUUAAUCAUUGCAAAAAUUUUGCUUUUAGGCGGUAUCUUCUUUAGAUUUUUUUAGUUCUAUGUACAGGGGUAUUCUGAAGUUGAGAAUUCAGUUCAUUUACUUGACUUUAUCAAAUGUGGAUAGCCACAAGACUGGAGACGCGAGACUUUGUGUAUAGUCUAAUAAUGUUGCAAUAAGUUGCUCCAUCGUCGUAUUUUCCCUCCUUUUUUGCAAUAAUUGUUCAUUCACAUUUUUUCAGAAACUAUUGCCAAUGUACCAAGUCUUAUUCAGAGAUUGUCAAUAUUGUUGGGCGUGUCCUGCUCUCCCUCUUUUAUAUUUGGUUGUUUGGUCUCACACUGAAGGUGCUAGAUGUAAUGUGGACUCAGGGCCAGAACAGAGAAGAACCAGAGCAGCUAGACUCGGGUGUGUGUUCAAGGCAACAAAUGCCCUCUUUUCCACUGAACCACCAACACAUGCUAGCUCUACUCUUUUGAUGUUCACUUACACAAAAAAAGACCACACUGUAUCCAUACCCGUGCAUGCACAAGCCCACACUGUACUACACUAUUUGGGUACACACUCAGUACAAUAUCUUCAGCUUCUACAAUGGCUUGUCUGACUGGUUAUAUUUGGUUUCAAUAAAUUAAUAGGAACGCAGCCAAAAGAACGCCGAUAACCGUAAGAAACAGAAGACAAAACAUAAAAUUGGAUCAAAAUCUUACUCGCAAGUAAGCUUUGAGAAGAGAAACUUGAAACUCACCCACACAAAUGACGGAACAUGGUCUAACACAGAGUCCUAGAAAGUUUGCGGAAGUACACUGACUUUUGGUUAUUCUAUAGUUAUUCAAUGAUGUGCAUUCGGUGUGUUUCAUCAUUAGCUGGGAUUAUUCAUGCGUUGGAUCGUGCUAUUCUUGUUUUAUCUUUUAUAUAGUGUCAAUAUUGAUGCCGUACCUGUAAUUGUUAUUUUCAUUUUUAGAACAAACCACGUCAAGAGGUUCAAAACAAAGAAACCGAAAGUCCACUUUCAAGUGAGCAGAAAAACAAUAUUUUCCAGACCGCAUACAAAGAGACUCUGAAAUGCAAGUCAUCGCAGCCUUGUGGGUACGGAUACAUGGCCAAACCUUCAACUGGUUCUCAAAGGUUCCGUAUCCUGGUUGAAGAGCAAGCUCGUGCUACAGCAGCCACCCAGCAGCAAAACUCUGAGCUCAGCCAGCAGGUCAACGAAUUACAAGAUCAACUACAAGCUGAACGUGCAAACACACAAGAGAGGAUUAACUUGGAGUGUACUGAGAGAGAACAACUUGAGGAGAGGUUAAAAGAAGAGCAUGCUGAAAGGGAAAGAUUGUUGGAAGAGGAGCGAACAUCAAGACCGGAAUUUGAAAAAAACAUGAUGACAAAGUUUGUAGCAUUGAGCCAACAGAUGGGAACCCAACAGGUGCCUAAGGAUUGACAAAGAAAAUAGUAACCCAAACUUGAAAAAUACACUUUUAUAGAGAUCUAGUCCUAAUAAGACUCCAGUUCAAGGCCAAUUAUUAUUUCUUCAAAUGCGCUCAUACAAGCUGCAACAAGGAAUUCUCGAAUGUUUAAAGCAAUGGAUCCAAAGAACUAGCUGGCCUGGACUCUAGAUCACGGACCGUUUAGUCUCUGCAAUUAAUUAGGAUGGCUAAAUUAUAUCUGAGUUUCAUUUGAUGGAUAUUUGCUACGAGAAUUAUGAACUUUAUGAAUCUACAUAUUAUACGUAUGGUUUUGAAUAUUGUAAUUGAAUGCAUGUAUUUUUUUUUACGGUUGCAAUAUGCUACAACCCACUUUCGGUUGCCACAUGUUAGCACCACCAAAAAAAGUGUUGCGUCAUAUCUCAGUCGAUAUGCCUACUAUUUUG